RNAcentral lists this ribosomal RNA (498 nucleotides) under uncultured bacterium. RNAcentral's name for it is "bacterial SSU rRNA". It matches the Rfam family "Bacterial small subunit ribosomal RNA", at positions 899 to 1397 of the family's 1533-position model. The record is from RNAcentral.
ACUCAAAGGAAUUGACGGGGGCCCGCACAAGCGGUGGAGCAUGUGGUUUAAUUCGAUGCAACGCGAAGAACCUUACCAGGUCUUGACAUCCUACGGAUUUCUAUGAAAGUAGAAAGUGCCUUCGGGAGCGUAGAGACAGGUGGUGCAUGGUUGUCGUCAGCUCGUGUCGUGAGAUGUUGGGUUAAGUCCCGCAACGAGCGCAACCCCUGCUAUUAGUUGCUAACAUUAAUGAUGAGCACUCUAAUGGGACUGCCUGUGACAAGCAGGAGGAAGGUGGGGAUGACGUCAAAUCAUCAUGCCCUUUAUGAUCUGGGCUACACACGUGCUACAAUGGAUGGUACAGAGGGCAGCGAAGCCGUGAGGUGAAGCGAAUCUCAAAAAGCCAUUCUCAGUUCGGAUUGCAGUCUGCAACUCGACUGCAUGAAGUCGGAAUCGCUAGUAAUCGCGAAUCAGCACGUCGCGGUGAAUGCGUUCCCGGGCCUUGUACACACCGCCCGU